This 4732-nucleotide ribosomal RNA is filed under the name Triticum aestivum (bread wheat). Its description in RNAcentral is "partial small subunit ribosomal RNA". The record is from RNAcentral. Lineage: Eukaryota; Viridiplantae; Streptophyta; Magnoliopsida; Poales; Poaceae.
GCAAGGACAGGUUUACCUCAGAAAUAUGAGAGAAUGGGAGGAGGUAAACAGAGGAGAGAAAAUGCAACAAGAUGAGGAUACCCAACCGAGGCUGAGCGUGGGAGGAGCCCCCACCUGAGGCUGGCAUCUCUUCUUCCUUCUCCGGCGUUGAUUUUGCUCGCCCCUUCUCAACCAGAGGCUCCGCUCCAUCCAUCCAUCCAUCCACGCUGCUGCUGCUACUGCUUCUCUCCACCACACUUGCUGCUGCACCUACGUCGGCUGUUCUUCUACCUCUCCACCGGAAAACUGCUGCCGCUCCAUUGCUUCGGCAACCUGCUCAGGUCUAUCUCCAUGUCUCCAGUCCAGUCAUCGUCUUCUAAUUUUGUACAUCACAUGUAUAACUAGAGAGCAAAGAUAAAUUCUUGCCCAGCCAGAGAUGACUGGAAUAAUGGUGAGCGCUUCAACCGGGGUGAUGAACUCUCUCCUGGGUAAGCUGGCCACCCUGAUGGGGGAGGAGUUCGCCAAGCUGAAGAACCUGAGGAAGGAGGUGAAGCACAUCAGCGAUGAGCUGAGCAGCAUGAAGGAUGCUCUAGAGAGCCUUGCAGAUGUGGAUACACUAGAUAAACAGACCGCUAGCUGGAGGGACGCGGUCAGGGAGAUGUCGUAUGACAUCGAGGAUAUUAUUGAUGACUUCAUGUGCAAAAUUGGGGAGAAAAGCAAAAAAACUGGUUUUAUCCACGACACCAUUCAACGCCUCAAAACUUCAAGGGCCCGCCAUCAGAUCGCUGGGAAGAUUGGGGACAUCAAGAAACUUGUGCGUGAAACAAGUGAGCGGCGUGAAAGAUAUAAGAUUGAUGUCCCCAAAUCGGGCAAUGUGGUAGUUGACCAACGCGUUGUGGCGCUCUAUGAAGAAUCAUCUAAACUUGUUGGUAUGGAUGGCCCAACCAAUAGGCUUGUCAGUUGGCUAAAAGAUGAGGAGAUGAUGUUGAAGAUUGUAUCAGUUAUUGGUUUUGGAGGUUUGGGAAAAACAACACUUGCCAAUCAGGUAUACCAUAAGCUGGAGGGUGAAUUUCAGUGUGGUGCAUUUUUGCCGGUGUCUCAAAAGCCAAAUAUGCCAAAACUUCUUCAUAGUUUAUUAACCCAACUUGGGUGUGGACAAUAUUGUCAUGACUGUGAGUUAAAUGUUCUUCUCAACCAAGUCAGAGAAAAUCUAAAAAACAAGAGGUACUUGGUUAUUAUCGAUGAUCUAUGGGAUGUAUCAGCAUGGAAUAUUAUUAAAUGUGCUUUCCCAGAAAAUAAUCUUGGUAGUAGAUUAAUAGUAACUACAAGAAUCAAGACUGUGGCUGGGGCAUGUUGUUUCAGUUACCAUGAGCACAUUCUUGAAAUGAAACCUCUUAGUGAAGAAGACUCAAGGAAAUUGUUUUUUGGUAGGAUAUUUUUCUCUGAAGAAGCUUGUCCAGGUCAACUCAGAGAUCUUUCAGUUGAGAUUCUCAAGAAGUGUGGUGGUUUGCCACUUGCAAUCAUUUGCAUAUCCAGCCUAUUGGCAAGUGAACGUUUCAACCAAAAGGAGAGGUGGAAACAUGUACUGAAUUCAUUGGGGUCUGUGUCAGGCACAAAUCUUACCUUGGAAGCAAUGAGACAGAUCUUGAACCUUAGCUACAAAAAUCUUCCUCACCACCUCAAGACAUGCUUCUUGUAUCUUGGUAUGUUUCUGGAGGACUCUGAAAAAUAUAGGCAUGAGUUGGUAAGCCUAUGGGUUUCUGAAGGCUUUGUUAGUAAAGCACAUGGACAAAAUCCAAAACAGAUUGCGAUAAGUUAUUUUAAUGAGCUUGUCAACAUGAGUCUUAUUCAACCUGCACAGGUUGACAUGCAUGGGUCAGUGUUAACUUGCAAAGUACAUGAUAUGUUGUUGGAUCUUAUCCUGUACAAGUCCGCGGAAGAGAAUUUUAUCACUGUAGUAGACAACCCAGAGGCCAUUACAGGACAGCUUCAAAAGCCCCGUCGGGUGCUCUUCAACUUGGAUGGUGCAACAUUACCAAGGGACGUUAAUAUGUCACAAGUGCGAUCAUUUGGAAACUGGAGAGGCUCCAUGAAUAUACCUUUUUUGGCAGAAUUCAAGUAUCUUCGAGUUUUUAUUGCUGACUUCAGUUCUAGUUCUGUUGAUGGCAACCGGAAAAUCGACCUGACAGGAUUGUGUAAGUUAUAUCAGCUGCGACAUAUACAGAUUGAAGGCUGUGAUAACUGCCAGCUACCAACGCAGAUUAGAGGGCUACAAAAGUUGGAAACAUUUGAUAUAGAUGGGUCCUGUAUCCCAAUGGAUAUUUUUCACCUGUCCUGUUUGUUGUCUCUGCAUAUUUUUCACCUGCCAUGUUUGUUGCCUGAGGGCAUUGGUAAAAUGACAUGCCUACAGCGUCUGAGAUGGUUUGACACACUGCACACCUCAAUCGACAGUAUCAAGGGCCUAGGAGAGCUUACCAAUCUGAGACUUCUGUACCUCACAACCGGUUUUUCUGAAGAUGUGGACAUGGAUGUUCUAAACUCUUCUUUGGCGAAACUUUGUAACCUCGACUCCCUGAACCUAUUUUCACCUGAUUCUUGGAUACCUGAGGCACUAACCUUGUCGCCUCCUCCCCCCAACCUCAUGGGACUCUCCAUGAUGCGAAUAUCCCGGGUCCCAAACUGGAUUGGGGAACUCCACAACCUCCAGAGCUUGCAUAUCACUGUUGAUAAGCUAGACAAGGAUGAUGUUGGUAUUCUUGCAGGGUUACCCGCCCUCAUGGACCUAGAAUUAACGUUCAGUAGAGCCCUGGAAGAAACAAUUGUCAUCUAUGGGACAACAUUCGCAAUCCUGAAGCGGUUUGUUGUCUACUGGACUGUCAUGCCACAACUGACCUUCCAAGCCGGAGCAAUGCCUAAGCUCCAGAGCCUCUCUCUACCUUUGAACGCCAGGGGGUGGAAGCAGGACGAGAGCGCCACACCUACAGGCAUCGAGCACUUGUUAGCACUUGAAAGAAUCUCUGUGGGGAUUGCGAGUGGUACUGAAUCUGAACAGCGAAGCGCAGAGUCUGCCAUUAGGAGCGCUAUCAACAUGCAUCCCGGCCUUGCUCACAUUAAAGUCGAUAUCCAAUGUUACUAACAAACAGUUUUUUUUUAUUUGGUCGUACCAGCCACGUCCAGCAGCUGGUAUGUUCAAAUUUCCAUCUCCAAUCUCCUGACUCCAGUCUGUCUCUUAGUUUCCUAACUUGCAGUUUGGGCUGUAGCUCGCCAUAAUACUGCACCUUUAUUUUUGUUGUAGCAAGACUUUGUAGAUCUAUGCAGAUUUAAAAAUUGCAUAUGCUUCAUUAAAUUGAAAAUCCGGAGCUCUACAAAUUUUUUUUCAACAUUUGAGCAGUUAUGAUUUCCUUUAUGAACGGUUGUUAAGCGAGUCUUUGGAAAUGUCUAGGUCGAGUGUGCGCAAUAAAAUUUGAGGUGCAUAUAGAUUGAAGUAAAGUAGCCCUGUAUGUUAGCACUGUUUGAUUAACUAGGUAACACACAGGUAUUUUAGAGAGUUCAGCCAUUCUCAUAGACACUGAUUGUCAGGGAAGGCGGUUCUUUUAUAUGGAGCAAUAAGAUGAGGCACGCCAAGGAACAUUGAGGUGUCUCCAACAUUUAUGUUGUAUUGUAGUGGAUGGAGAUGGAUUGCUGCAUUUUCUCCCUGUCGGGAAUACCGAGCUAUCACUUUGCUUUGUUCUGCUAGUUAUCUCGACGAACUGUUUACACUUUGUCUCAAAGAUUAUGCACGAUUACGCUUUGCUUGGGUUCUCCUGUAGUAGUGCUUGAUUGGUGGGCAGGAGAAGCCAGGGAUCAUAUGUUCUUGUUAUUGUUGUAUAUGUGUACGUUUGCUUCUUUCAUCAAACGUAUUCAACUGAACAUCUAUUUCUUGUACUGUUUGCAUUUCUCAAAAAGUCAGUUUAUAUGUUGUAUUUCAUGGCAUUGAUUCCUAUGCAAUUUCGUGUUGGAUCACUGAUUGUUCUAUCUAUGGAAAGCAUACUAAAUAAUUUCAACGGUUUCCUUUGCAUAUGGACAUAUGGAUGCUGUCUAGACAGAGCACGCAUGUUUCCUACAGGGAGCACUAGCAGAGCAGAGCAUGCAGGGGAAAGUUUCUGAAUAUGAUCUGUGGACAGACGCGACCAACCUGAAUAAUAGAUAGUCAGCAGCGGGUUAUAUGAUGCAGUGAAUCGAUGGCUGCAGGGGAAUCGAAUCGACGAUGAAGCCGGUCCAUGCGCCGCCGCCAGCCUACGCCCGAGCUUCUAAGAGUCCCUCCCAUCCAUGAAAUCAUCUCCGUUGCCGGUUUAUGGGCAGAAAAAUGCAUCCAACCAUGGGAAUGGAGACGGUGUUGGGACAGUCCAUUGGCAUGGCAUUGUCGCGACGGCGAUGAAGAUGGACCUUGCAGACAUCGUCGCGACGGCGCGCUCGGCCGUCGGCUGUUCAAGCUCCGGCGAAUAGUCGCCCCAAUAGACCUUUCUCAGCUAGAUGGACUUUCUUCCAGGCCAGAUCCAUUUUGUGUUGAUUUCCCCUCUCAAUUUGUAUCAUUUUUCUGUCGUCGAAAAAGAAAUUUUGUAUAUAAUAUUCCCUGCCAUGCGUUGUGGUGGGUAGUGGUGAGUGGCGCGGCGCACGACACCGAUGGUAAGAGGAAGGAGACUUUUCUUCAGUAUGAAUAAGACAACAAACGUUGAUUACCUAGAAGUAGGUGUUGUACUCCCUCCGUUUCAAA